This 493-nucleotide ribosomal RNA is filed under the name uncultured bacterium. Its description in RNAcentral is "partial 16S ribosomal RNA". It matches the Rfam family "Bacterial small subunit ribosomal RNA", at positions 30 to 523 of the family's 1533-position model. The record is from RNAcentral.
AUUGAACGCUGGCGGCAUGCUUUACACAUGCAAGUCGAACGGUAACAGGUUAAGCUGACGAGUGGCGAACGGGUGAGUAAUGCAUCGGAACGUGCCCGGUCGUGGGGGAUAACGCAGCGAAAGCUGCGCUAAUACCGCAUACGAUCUGAGGAUGAAAGCGGGGGACCGUAAGGCCUCGCGCGAUCGGAGCGGCCGAUGUCAGAUUAGGUAGUUGGUGGGGUAAAGGCCUACCAAGCCGACGAUCUGUAGCUGGUCUGAGAGGACGACCAGCCACACUGGGACUGAGACACGGCCCAGACUCCUACGGGAGGCAGCAGUGGGGAAUUUUGGACAAUGGGCGCAAGCCUGAUUCAGCAAUGCCGCGUGCAGGAAGAAGGCCUUCGGGUUGUAAACUGCUUUUGUACGGAGCGAAAAGGCUCUCUCUAAUACAGGGGGCUCAUGACGGUAUCGUAAGAAUAAGCACCGGCUAACUACGUGCCAGCCGCCGCAGUAA